UACGAAGGGGGCUAGCGUUGUUCGGAAUUACUGGGCGUAAAGGGCGCGUAGGCGGUACUUCAAGUCAGGCGUGAAAGCCCCGGGCUCAACCUGGAAACCGCGCUUGAGACUGGAGAACUAGAGUUCGGGAGAGGAUGGUGGAAUUCCCAGUGUAGAGGUGAAAUUCGUAGAUAUUGGGAAGAACACCGAUGGCGAAGGCAGCCAUCUGGACCGACACUGACGCUGAGGCG
This 230-nucleotide ribosomal RNA is filed under the name uncultured microorganism. RNAcentral's name for it is "partial 16S ribosomal RNA". It matches the Rfam family "Bacterial small subunit ribosomal RNA", at positions 524 to 753 of the family's 1533-position model. The record is from RNAcentral.